This is a long non-coding RNA of Saccostrea cuccullata (small rock oyster), 275 nucleotides long. RefSeq lists it as uncharacterized. The record is from RefSeq and is a predicted model, not a curated record. NCBI's taxonomy places the organism in Eukaryota, Metazoa, Mollusca, Bivalvia, Ostreida, Ostreidae. The transcript is spliced from 3 exons.
UAUGAACCUGAGAAUCAUUAACUUUAUAUGUGUUUUUCUUAUUGGAUCGGUCUAUUCUGCAAAAUGUGCAAACAAAGAAAAUGAGAAACAUUGCUGUUCCGGUUAUAUGUUGAACGUAAAAUCAAAAAAGUGUGAGAAAUGCCCCAUUGGAUAUACCGGGGUUGACUGCCUGUACAGAUGUAUUUUUCCUGACUUUGGGGAAGAUUGUGUUCAAAAAUGCAAUUGUACCGAGGACAUAUGUGAUUUUAUCAAUGGAUGCCAGUUUGAAAAUUUUC